UACGGAGGGGGCUAGCGUUGUUCGGAAUUACUGGGCGUAAAGCGCACGUAGGCGGCUUUGUAAGUUAGAGGUGAAAGCCCGGAGCUCAACUCGGAAUUGCCUUUAAGACUGCAUCGCUUGAAUCCGGGAGAGGUGAGUGGAAUUCCGAGUGUAGAGGUGAAAUUCGUAGAUAUUCGGAAGAACACCAGUGGCGAAGGCGGCUCACUGGACCGGUAUUGACGCUGAGGUGCGAAAGCGUGGGGAGCAAACAGG
RNAcentral lists this ribosomal RNA (252 nucleotides) under uncultured bacterium. RNAcentral's name for it is "partial 16S ribosomal RNA". It matches the Rfam family "Bacterial small subunit ribosomal RNA", at positions 524 to 776 of the family's 1533-position model. The record is from RNAcentral.